AGAGUUUGAUCCUGGCUCAGAGCGAACGCUGGCGGCAGGCCUAACACAUGCAAGUCGAGCGCCCCGCAAGGGGAGCGGCAGACGGGAGAGUAACACGUGGGAACGUGCCCUUUGGUUCGGAACAACCCAGGGAAACUUGGGCUAAUACCGGAUAAGCCCUUACGGGGAAAGAUUUAUCGCCGAAGGAUCGGCCCGCGUCUGAUUAGCUAGUUGGUGGGGUAAUGGCUCACCAAGGCGACGAUCAGUAGCUGGUCUGAGAGGAUGAUCAGCCUCACUGGGACUGAGACACGGCCCAGACUCCUACGGGAGGCAGCAGUGGGGAAUAUUGGACAAUGGGCGCAAGCCUGAUCCAGCCAUGCCGCGUGGGUGAUGAAGGCCCUAGGGUUGUAAAGCCCUUUCG
RNAcentral lists this ribosomal RNA (400 nucleotides) under uncultured bacterium. RNAcentral describes it as "bacterial SSU rRNA". It matches the Rfam family "Bacterial small subunit ribosomal RNA", at positions 8 to 438 of the family's 1533-position model. The record is from RNAcentral.